AUACGUAGGUGGCAAGCGUUAUCCGGAUUUACUGGGUGUAAAGGGCGCGUAGGCGGGGGUGCAAGUCAGAUGUGAAAUCUAUGGGCUUAACUCAUAAACUGCAUUUGAAACUGUAUUUCUUGAGUGCUGGAGAGGUAGACGGAAUUCCUUGUGUAGCGGUGAAAUGCGUAGAUAUAAGGAAGAACACCAGUGGCGAAGGCGGUCUACUGGACAGUAACUGACGCUGAGGCGCGAAAGCGUGGGGAGCAAACAGGAUUAGAUACCCUGGUAGUCCACGCUGUAAACGAUGAAUACUAGGUGUGGGGGGACUGACCCCCUCCGUGCCGCAGUUAACACAAUAAGUAUUCCGCCUGGGGAGUACGGCCGCAAGGUUGAAACUUAAAGGAAUUGACGGGG
This 396-nucleotide ribosomal RNA is filed under the name uncultured bacterium. RNAcentral describes it as "partial 16S ribosomal RNA". It matches the Rfam family "Bacterial small subunit ribosomal RNA", at positions 523 to 918 of the family's 1533-position model. The record is from RNAcentral.